Molecule: ribosomal RNA, 227 nt
Filed under: uncultured bacterium
Lineage: Bacteria
Description: partial 16S ribosomal RNA
Rfam family: Bacterial small subunit ribosomal RNA
Source: RNAcentral
CUGAACCAGCCAAGUAGCGUGAAGGAUGACUGCCCUAUGGGUUGUAAACUACUUUUAUAAAGGAAUAAAGUCGGGUAUGCAUACCCGUUUGCAUGUACUUUAUGAAUAAGGAUCGGCUAACUCCGUGCCAGCAGCCGCGGUAAUACGGAGGAUCCGAGCGUUAUCCGGAUUUAUUGGGUUUAAAGGGAGCGUAGGCGGACGCUUAAGUCAGUUGUGAAAGUUUGCGG